This 495-nucleotide ribosomal RNA is filed under the name Enterococcus faecalis. RNAcentral describes it as "bacterial SSU rRNA". It matches the Rfam family "Bacterial small subunit ribosomal RNA", at positions 56 to 523 of the family's 1533-position model. Lineage: Bacteria; Bacillati; Bacillota; Bacilli; Lactobacillales; Enterococcaceae. The record is from RNAcentral.
UGCAGUCGAACGCUUCUUUCCUCCCGAGUGCUUGCACUCAAUUGGAAAGAGGAGUGGCGGACGGGUGAGUAACACGUGGGUAACCUACCCAUCAGAGGGGGAUAACACUUGGAAACAGGUGCUAAUACCGCAUAACAGUUUAUGCCGCAUGGCAUAAGAGUGAAAGGCGCUUUCGGGUGUCGCUGAUGGAUGGACCCGCGGUGCAUUAGCUAGUUGGUGAGGUAACGGCUCACCAAGGCCACGAUGCAUAGCCGACCUGAGAGGGUGAUCGGCCACACUGGGACUGAGACACGGCCCAGACUCCUACGGGAGGCAGCAGUAGGGAAUCUUCGGCAAUGGACGAAAGUCUGACCGAGCAACGCCGCGUGAGUGAAGAAGGUUUUCGGAUCGUAAAACUCUGUUGUUAGAGAAGAACAAGGACGUUAGUAACUGAACGUCCCCUGACGGUAUCUAACCAGAAAGCCACGGCUAACUACGUGCCAGCAGCCGCGGUAA